Small nucleolar RNA from Notolabrus celidotus (New Zealand spotty), 67 nucleotides. The record is from RefSeq and is a predicted model, not a curated record. Lineage: Eukaryota; Metazoa; Chordata; Actinopteri; Labriformes; Labridae.
UUGGAAGUGAUGCAGUCAAAACAUCUGACUCUUCUGAUGGUGUUAGUAUUCAUACUGUCUGAUCCAA